RNAcentral lists this long non-coding RNA (1448 nucleotides) under Homo sapiens (human). RNAcentral's name for it is "non-protein coding LINC01539:9". Lineage: Eukaryota; Metazoa; Chordata; Mammalia; Primates; Hominidae. The record is from RNAcentral.
GUUGCAGCACAGCGUGUCACCAGAGAGGAAAAGAAUAUCCUUGCUGUGCCAAGAAAGAAAAGACCAUGGAUCUACUAGUUGCAGAUUUCAGCAGUAAUGCCAAGGGGGCAAGAAGUGACCAGCAGAACAAUUAGGCCAUGGCAACAGAAGCCAACUACAACCCAUGUUCCAAUCUAUGACCUCCCUCUCCUGCUGGUACAAGGAUAUGUAUUCCUUAGAGCAAAGGAUGCAAUGUCAAGCAAGUUGUGAUACCUCAACUAUCUACAAUUUAACACCAAGGAAAGAACACUGUUUGGAGAAAUGAGAAAGAUUAUCAUCAGUGUCUUUCAGAAGUCAUCAAAAGAAGAAAAGGAGAAAAGAGAGGAGAAAGCAGAAAGAUCUGGAGUCUGGGAAGUUCAAGAGCAUGGCACCAACAUCUGGCAAGGGCUUUCAUUCUGCAUCAUCUCAUGGAGGAAAAUAAAAAGAUUCACCACCAUCACUACUCUAAGUAUUUUUCUUCUUGAGAAAGAGAAGGAGAGGGAAAGCAAGGAAGAGGAAGAGAAAGAGAAAUGGAUAAAAACAUGGUCAAGUAGAAGAGUCUGUGUGUCUUCCAGAGUCCUCACGAGUAUCAGAGAAGGCAUAAUCUGUACACGUGGCUUCAUUUAAAAUGAAAAUAUCAAGCAGUGUCAUUUUCACAAGUAUCCCCACACUGUCUGAGGCUGAAAAGAAGAGUGUAGCUAUGCACACUGCAGUGAGAAGAAAAUUUCAGCUCAAUUGGAGGAUGUAAAGAUUGAAAUACCACUGCUCCUAGUUCUGAUGCAAAAUUGAAAAGAGUGCACUGGGUCUUCAAAUGGCAUAUUGACAAGGAGAAAGAGGAAAGGAUGCCCCAGGACAGCCUGGGGGUCAAGGCUGGGCUCAGGCAUGCCUGGACAAGCCAUGCAAGUUGUCUCCGGACUUGAACCACGUAUCAGAGGAGCUAUUUGAGGAGCCACAUCAGCAUACCUGCUUCUGUGGGCCCCCAGGCUGUGGUGCUCAGCCCUUGCACUAUGAAACAUUUUUUUUUUCCAGAAGCCAAAGCUUUGAGCAUCUCCUCCCAUGUAGAGAGUGUAUAUGUUUACGUCCAUGUCUUUCGCCAUGUGAACGCAUGCAACCACCACCUCAAAUAUCAUAAAUCCUCUCUCUCCCCCUUUCUGUCUGCCUGUUUAUCUACAAUCUGUCUAUUUAAAUUCUUUUUAAACAAGAAGGGAAUAUCUUUAUGCCUGUUUGUAGGGAUAUUCUACAUCCAUCUGUUAUUUACAUCAUUCGUUUUCCUGAGGUGUCUCCAACAAAUCCUGGCUGGAUGCACUGUAUGUGUUAUUAAUAAAACAGCUGUAAAAAUAUUAACUGUACGGCCUAAUUGUCAGCCCUGAUUGGGAGCCAAGUUUAUCCCCGGACGGAUGCGGAGACUCAGAAUUUGGGCUUCCAUCCAG